Molecule: long non-coding RNA, 558 nt
Filed under: Cyanistes caeruleus (blue tit)
Lineage: Eukaryota; Metazoa; Chordata; Aves; Passeriformes; Paridae
Description: lncRNA (ENSCCEG00000021313.1)
Source: RNAcentral
CUCACAAUAGCUUCCACCAGUCCAGAACAAGACCCUCUAGGGAUGGGACACACUUGCCCAUUUUAUUUCAAAAACUGACUGUUAUUUUUUCAGAACAGAAAUUCUGCUAAGAGAACAACUGCAAUUCUCGCUUGUCUGCAAACUUGUGGAGUGAGAAAGAAAAAGAGUUCUUUGGCUUCCAAAAGAUGCAAGUAUCUUAAAUGUCCCUGAAUCUAUGCCAGAACACAGCUCCAAGGUGGUCUUUGACUGCAAGAGGAGCAAGAUCAGCACUGCAAAACUACUAAGAUCAGCUGAAAUCCAGAUUGCAAACAUAAUAUAAAAGUUGUGGUUUUAAAUACUCCUAUCGUGACUAUUGACGAGAUCAGAAAAUGCUUAGUGAUGGAUGAAUAUUUAUCACUGCAUCCCUGGACAGUACACAAUCAGGCAAAUAACUACCUUCAGUCCUGCCAGAUAAAUGUGUACCACUGCAUUCUUCAUCUGGUGAAGGUCAGAAGGAAAAUUCAAGCAGGAUGUCAAGAGGGAAAUAAAGAUGUCUCACUGAGAGUCUGAUCACAUUAC